AGUGCAGAAGAGGACAGUGGAACUCCAUGUGUAGCGGUGAAAUGCGUAGAUAUAUGGAAGAACACCAGUGGCGAAGGCGGCUGUCUGGUCUGUAACUGACGCUGAGGCUCGAAAGUAUGGGUAGCAAACAGGAUUAGAUACCCUGGUAGUCCAUACCGUAAACGAUGAAUGCUAAGUGUUGGAGGGUUUCCGCCCUUCAGUGCUGCAGCUAACGCAUUAAGCAUUCCGCCUGGGGAGUACGGCCGCAAGGCUGAAACUCAAAGGAAUUGACGGGGGCCCGCACAAGCGGUGGAGCAUGUGGUUUAAUUCGAAGCUACGCGAAGAACCUUACCAGGUCUUGACAUACUAUGCAAAUCUAAGAGAUUAGACGUUCCCUUCGGGGACAUGGAUACAGGUGGUGCAUGGUUGUCGUCAGCUCGUGUCGUGAGAUGUUGGGUUAAGUCCCGCAACGAGCGCAACCCUUAUUAUCAGUUGCCAGCAUUAAGUUGGGCACUCUGGUGAGACUGCCGGUGACAAACCGGAGGAAGGUGGGGAUGACGUCAAAUCAUCAUGCCCCUUAUGACCUGGGCUACACACGUGCUACAAUGGAUGGUACAACGAGUUGCGAACUCGCGAGAGUAAGCUAAUCUCUUAAAGCCAUUCUCAGUUCGGAUUGUAGGCUGCAACUCGCCUACAUGAAGUCGGAAUCGCUAGUAAUCGCGGAUCAGCAUGCCGCGGUGAAUACGUUCCCGGGCCUUGUACACACCGCCCGUCACACCAUGAGAGUUUGUAACACCCAAAGUCGGUGGGGUAUAUUUAGGAACCAGCCGCCUAAGGUGGACAGAUGCUAGGGGAGUCAACAGACCGCCGCAAAA
Molecule: ribosomal RNA, 854 nt
Filed under: Lactiplantibacillus plantarum
Lineage: Bacteria; Bacillati; Bacillota; Bacilli; Lactobacillales; Lactobacillaceae
Description: bacterial SSU rRNA
Rfam family: Bacterial small subunit ribosomal RNA
Source: RNAcentral